AACCAUAGAAACCUGCGGAGUACCUGCGGAGGGAUCAUUAUAGUAUAUGGAAUCUCCAUUCUAUAAACCCACUCUGCGUAUCUUGUAACUGUUGCUUCCAUGGGACUUAGUUCCGCCACACCGGCUUCACGGCUGGUGAGCGCCCAUGGAAGGAGAAACAAAACUCUUCUUUGAAAUGUAGUCAGUCUGAACAAGUUUUUAUAAACGUUAAAACUUUUAACAAUGGAUCUCAGAUCGGAA
RNAcentral lists this unclassified non-coding RNA (240 nucleotides) under soil metagenome. RNAcentral describes it as "partial contains 5.8S ribosomal RNA, internal transcribed spacer 2, and large subunit ribosomal RNA". The record is from RNAcentral.